This is a long non-coding RNA of Macaca mulatta (Rhesus monkey), 1573 nucleotides long. The record is from Ensembl. NCBI's taxonomy places the organism in Eukaryota, Metazoa, Chordata, Mammalia, Primates, Cercopithecidae.
GAGAUGUGGCUCCUGGCAUGGCAGGGCAAAGCCUCUGCUGGUCGUCUGAGCCCAGCCCUGACCCCAGGCUGAGAACGCUGUCCGCCCAGACCCUUCUGAGCCCAGCCCUGACCCCAGGCUGAGAACGCUGUCCGCCCAGACCCUUCUGAGCCCAGCCCUGACCCCAGGCUGAGAACGCUGUCCGCCCAGACCCUUCUGAGCCCAGCCCUGACCCCAGGCUGAGAACGCUGUCCGCCCAGACCCUUCUGAGCCCAGCCCUGACCCCAGGCUGAGAACGCUGUCCGCCCAGACCUUUCUGAGCCCAGCCCUGACCCCAGGCUGAGAACGCUGUCCGCCCAGACCGUUCUGAGCCCAGCCCUGACCCCAGGCUGAGAACGCUGUCCGCCCAGACCGUUCUGAGCCCAGCCCUGACCCCAGGCUGAGAACGCGUCCGCCCAGACCAUUCUGAGCCCAGCCCUGACUCCAGGCUGAGACGGCUGUGCACCCAGGCUGUUCUGAGUCUAGUGCUGACUCCAGGCUGAGACGGCCGUCCACCCAGGGCGUUCUGAGCCUAGCCCUGACUCCAGGCUGAGACAGAAAACACACCCCUGGGUGGAGAUUUAAGAUGCUAAUGAGACACGCAACUGAUGAACAAGCAGGUGCAGGUACUGCGCAUGUGCACCUAGAGGACGCCCCCCCCCCGCCCCGCCCCGCCGAACAUGUUUCCUAGCAACGCCUCUGCCCACCCGCGCCAGCUGACACGGAAAAUAGAAAGAGCCUGUGUUGAAACAUUGGGGGGGUUUCCCCGAUAUCUGGCUUGUCUUGAACUCCUGAGCUCAAGUGAUCCUCCCACCUCAGCCUCUCAAAGUACUGGGAUUACAGGCAUGAACCACUGUGUCUGGCACAAGCAAAUAUUAAAACAACGAAAGUACAAUGGAAUAGAGGCCAUACAGAGAUAGGAGCUGAAGGGACACGGUGAGAAGUGACCAGAAGCCUAGUGUGAGCCUCUGUCAUGCCCGGACAGGGCCACUAGAGGGCUCCUUGGUCUAGCGGUAAUGCCAGUGCCUGGGAAGGCGCCCGUUACUUAGCAGACUGGGAAAGGGAGUCUCCCUUUCCUUGGGGAGUUAGAGAAGACUCCGCCCCACCACUUCUUGUGGAAGGCCUGACAUCAGUCAAGCCUGUCUGCAGCCAUCCGGACGCCUAAACGUCUCCCCGUGAUGCUGUGCUUCAGCGGUCAUGCUCCUGGUCCACUUUCAUGUUCCGCCCUGUCCACCUGGCUCUGCCUUCUAGAUAGCAGUAGCAGAAUUAGUGAAAGUAUUAAAGUCUUUGAUCUCUCCAGAAAUACAUAGAAGAAAUAAUGACACAAACUCUCCCCUCUCUCUCUCCGCCUUGACUACCAAAGAGGGAAGGGCCCCCUGUCCAGUGGACACGUGACCCAUGUGACCUUACCUAUCAUUGGAGACAACUCACGCUCCUUAUCCUGCCCUCUUGCCUUGUAUACAAUAAAUGACAGCACAGCCGGGCAUUCGGGGCCACUACUGGUCUCCGAACCUUGGUGGUAGUGGUCCCCAGGGCCCAAAUGUCUUUUCUUCUG